AACGCACAUUGCGCCCACUGGUAUUCCGGUGGGCAUGCCUGUCUGAGCGUCAGUAUAAUCUCAAGCAACUGCUUGGUAUUGGAAGAUGAUCUGCCUAGCAGUUCCCUUCUUAAACUGAUUGGCAAGUUUACAUAGCAGCAAGCGUAGUAGAAAUACCAUCAGCUUAGUUACUCUGUAUAGCUUUGUCAAAAUCAAACUAUUUUUAAGGUUUGACCUCAGAUCAGGUAAGGAUACCCCCUGAACUUAA
RNAcentral lists this unclassified non-coding RNA (247 nucleotides) under uncultured Ascomycota. RNAcentral's name for it is "sequence contains ITS2". The stretch from base 1 to 52 matches the Rfam family "5.8S ribosomal RNA", at positions 103 to 154 of the family's 154-position model. The record is from RNAcentral. Lineage: Eukaryota; Fungi; Ascomycota.